RNAcentral lists this ribosomal RNA (390 nucleotides) under uncultured bacterium. RNAcentral describes it as "bacterial SSU rRNA". It matches the Rfam family "Bacterial small subunit ribosomal RNA", at positions 29 to 420 of the family's 1533-position model. The record is from RNAcentral.
AUUAAACGCUGGCGGCAUGCCUUACACAUGCAAGUCGAACGGCAGCACGGGGGCAACCCUGGUGGCGAGUGGCGGACGGGUGAGUAAUACAUCGGAACGUGCCCUGGAGUGGGGGAUAACGCAGCGAAAGCUACGCUAAUACCGCAUAUUCUGUGAGCAGGAAAGCAGGGGAUCGCAAGACCUUGCGCUUUGGGAGCGGCCGAUGUCGGAUUAGCUAGUUGGUGGGGUAAAGGCCUACCAAGGCGACGAUCCGUAGCGGGUCUGAGAGGAUGAUCCGCCACACUGGGACUGAGACACGGCCCAGACUCCUACGGGAGGCAGCAGUGGGGAAUUUUGGACAAUGGGCGGAAGCCUGAUCCAGCCAUGCCGCGUGAGUGAAGAAGGCCUCGG